Molecule: ribosomal RNA, 456 nt
Filed under: Triticum aestivum (bread wheat)
Lineage: Eukaryota; Viridiplantae; Streptophyta; Magnoliopsida; Poales; Poaceae
Description: partial small subunit ribosomal RNA
Source: RNAcentral
AUGAAUUACUUAAUUUGGAACUGUCGGGGGGUGGGGAACCGCUGGACAGUUCGUGAGGUUUGGGCCCUCUCUAAAGCCAAUUCCCCGGCUCUUUUUUUAUGUGAAACUAGACAAGCCUCAAGUAAGAUGGAGAAACUUAAAUGGAGACUAGGAUUGAAGGGUUUUGCGGUUGUUUCCAGUGAUGGUCAUUGUGGAGGUAUGGCACUCUUUUGGGAUGAAAAUCUGCAAGUGAAGGUUUUGGAUUCAUGCGCAUGGUAUAUUGAUGUGCGAGUGGUGGAUAAUGCAAAGGAUACUUCAUGGACAUCAACGUUCGUAUACAGAGAGACGCGUGUGGAGAAUCGACACAGUAUGUGGGAACAUCUAAUUAAUCUACGGUCAUUCUCUACUGAACCGUGGAUAGUUUGUGGUGAUUUCAAUGAGGCGAUGUGGCAAGAUGAGCACUUUUCAAGAGUGUAA